UAAUAAGUGUUUUAUGGCACUUUUUAAAACCAUAUCCACCUUGUGUGCAAUGUCAGUCGAUCUUCUUCAUGGAGAUCGACCAAACAUCAACCUUUAUUUUUUAACUCUUUGUCUGAAAAAUAUUAUGAAUAAACAAUUCAAAAUA
RNAcentral lists this unclassified non-coding RNA (145 nucleotides) under soil metagenome. RNAcentral's name for it is "partial internal transcribed spacer 1". The record is from RNAcentral.